AUUUAUAUAGUUUAACUUAAAACAAUUCAUUUUCAAUGAAUAAAUAGGAAUUUCCUUAUAGAUA
This 64-nucleotide transfer RNA is filed under the name Dicranocephalus alticolus. RNAcentral describes it as "tRNA-Glu". It matches the Rfam family "tRNA". From Rfam's summary of the family: Transfer RNA (tRNA) molecules are approximately 80 nucleotides in length. Their secondary structure includes four short double-helical elements and three loops (D, anti-codon, and T loops). The record is from RNAcentral. Lineage: Eukaryota; Metazoa; Arthropoda; Insecta; Hemiptera; Stenocephalidae.